RNAcentral lists this ribosomal RNA (253 nucleotides) under uncultured bacterium. RNAcentral describes it as "partial 16S ribosomal RNA". It matches the Rfam family "Bacterial small subunit ribosomal RNA", at positions 524 to 776 of the family's 1533-position model. The record is from RNAcentral.
UACGGAGGGUGCAAGCGUUGUCCGGAAUCACUGGGAGUAAAGGGCGCGUAGGCGGCUCAUGAAGGCUGUGGUGAAAGUCCGGGGCUCAACCUCGGAUCGGCCGUGGCGACUCGUGGGCUGGAGCACUGUAGAGGCGGGUGGAAUUCCGGGUGUAGCGGUGGAAUGCGUAGAGAUCCGGAAGAACACCAGUGGCGAAGGCGGCCCGCUGGGCAGUGGCUGACGCUGAGGCGCGACAGCGUGGGGAGCAAACAGG